CUUACCCCAUGCGCUAAGCCAGCAACCUCUGGGCUUGGCGAGACUGAUGGGUUAAUAAGCCGAGGGAGGAGGUAGAAGAGGGGGAUUGGGGGGGAGGACUUAGGGGACCAGGACUUCAGUGAGGCCCCAGAAAGCUCAUAGGAGGGGCCUCCGAUCCUGCCUGUGAGGGAGGGCUUUAGAGGAGGAUUCCUGGAAGAAGGAGGACCUAAGCUGGGUGUUUCUAUUUUUAAUUUUUAUUGGCUUCCUAAACAUAAAAGU
Molecule: non-coding RNA, 258 nt
Organism: Otolemur garnettii (small-eared galago)
Lineage: Eukaryota; Metazoa; Chordata; Mammalia; Primates; Galagidae
Source: Rfam